RNAcentral lists this ribosomal RNA (492 nucleotides) under uncultured bacterium. Its description in RNAcentral is "partial 16S ribosomal RNA". It matches the Rfam family "Bacterial small subunit ribosomal RNA", at positions 30 to 507 of the family's 1533-position model. The record is from RNAcentral.
AUUGAACGCUGGCGGCAUGCUUUACACAUGCAAGUCGAACGGUAACAGGCCUUCGGGUGCUGACGAGUGGCGAACGGGUGAGUAAUGGAUCGGAACGUGCCCAGAGGUGGGGGAUAACGCAGCGAAAGCUGUGCUAAUACCGCAUGUGAUCUGAGGAUGAAAGCGGGGGACCAGGCAGCAAUGUUUGGCCUCGCGCCUUUGGAGCGGCCGAUGUCAGAUUAGGUAGUUGGUGGGGUAAAGGCCUACCAAGCCGACGAUCUGUAGCUGGUCUGAGAGGACGACCAGCCACACUGGGACUGAGACACGGCCCAGACUCCUACGGGAGGCAGCAGUGGGGAAUUUUGGACAAUGGGCGCAAGCCUGAUCCAGCAAUGCCGCGUGCGGGAAGAAGGCCUUCGGGUUGUAAACCGCUUUUGUACGGAACGAAAAGGCUCUGGCUAAUACCUGGGGCUGAUGACGGUACCGUAAGAAUAAGCACCGGCUAACUACGUG